AGAUUGAACGCUGGCGGCAGGCCUAACACAUGCAAGUCGAGCGGCAGCACGGGUACUUGUACCUGGUGGCGAGCGGCGGACGGGUGAGUAAUGCCUAGGAAUCUGCCUGGUAGUGGGGGAUAACGCUCGGAAACGGACGCUAAUACCGCAUACGUCCUACGGGAGAAAGCAGGGGACCUUCGGGCCUUGCGCUAUCAGAUGAGCCUAGGUCGGAUUAGCUAGUUGGUGAGGUAAUGGCUCACCAAGGCGACGAUCCGUAACUGGUCUGAGGAGGAUGAUCAGUCACACGUAGGAACUGAGACCGACGGUCCAAGACCUUACCGGACGGGGAGCAGGCGAGGGUAGGGGUAAAUUAGGUUAGGAACGUAAGGU
RNAcentral lists this ribosomal RNA (372 nucleotides) under uncultured soil bacterium. RNAcentral describes it as "bacterial SSU rRNA". It matches the Rfam family "Bacterial small subunit ribosomal RNA", at positions 26 to 383 of the family's 1533-position model. The record is from RNAcentral.